AUACGGAGGAUCCGAGCGUUAUCCGGAUUUAUUGGGUUUAAAGGGUGCGUAGGUGGUUUGAUAAGUCAGCGGUGAAAGUUUGCAGCUUAACUGUAAAAAUGCCGUUGAAACUGUCGGACUUGAGUGUAAAUGAGGUAGGCGGAAUGCGUGGUGUAGCGGUGAAAUGCAUAGAUAUCACGCAGAACUCCGAUUGCGAAGGCAGCUUACUAAGCUACAACUGACACUGAAGCACGAAAGCGUGGGGAUCAAACAGGAUUAGAUACCCUGGUAGUCCACGCAGUAAACGAUGAUUACUAGCUGUUUGCGGUACACAGUAAGCGGCACAGCGAAAGCGUUAAGUAAUCCACCUGGGGAGUACGCCGGCAACGGUGAAACUCAAAGGAAUUGACGGGG
RNAcentral lists this ribosomal RNA (393 nucleotides) under uncultured bacterium. RNAcentral's name for it is "partial 16S ribosomal RNA". It matches the Rfam family "Bacterial small subunit ribosomal RNA", at positions 523 to 918 of the family's 1533-position model. The record is from RNAcentral.